This 774-nucleotide ribosomal RNA is filed under the name uncultured bacterium. RNAcentral describes it as "bacterial SSU rRNA". It matches the Rfam family "Bacterial small subunit ribosomal RNA", at positions 601 to 1378 of the family's 1533-position model. The record is from RNAcentral.
UAUGCCGCUUAACGGUAGAACUGCCAUUGAUACUGCAAGUCUUGAAUAUGGUUGAGGUAGGCGGAAUGUGUUGUGUAGCGGUGAAAUGCAUAGAUAUGACACAGAACGCCAAUUGCGAAGGCAGCUUACUAAGCCAUUAUUGACGCUGAGGCACGAAAGCGUGGGGAGCGAACAGGAUUAGAUACCCUGGCAGUCCACGCCGUAAACGAUGUUCACUCGCUGUCUGCGAUACACAGUAGGCGGCUUAGCGAAAGCAUUAAGUGAACCACCUGGGGAGUACGAUCGCAAGGUUGAAACUCAAAGGAAUUGACGGGGGCCCGCACAAGCGGAGGAACAUGUGGUUUAAUUCGAUGAUACGCGAGGAACCUUACCUGGGCUUAAAUGUAUAUUGCAUUCCCGAGAAAUCGGGAUUCCCUUCGGGGCUAUUUACAAGGUGCUGCAUGGUUGUCGUCAGCUCGUGCCGUGAGGUGUCGGGUUAAGUCCCAUAACGAGCGCAACCCCUAUCGUUAGUUGCCAGCGGAUAAUGCCGGGGACUCUAGCGAGACUGCCACCGUAAGGUGAGAGGAAGGUGGGGAUGACGUCAAAUCAGCACGGCCCUUAUGUCCAGGGCUACACACGUGUUACAAUGGCCGAUACAAAGGGCAGCUACCUGGUGACAGGAUGCUAAUCUCUAAAGUCGGUCCCAGUUCGGAUUGGAGUCUGCAACCCGACUCCAUGAAGUUGGAUUCGCUAGUAAUCGGAUAUCAGCAAUGAUCCGGUGAAUACGUUCCCGGG